Molecule: long non-coding RNA, 2240 nt
Organism: Panicum virgatum (switchgrass)
Lineage: Eukaryota; Viridiplantae; Streptophyta; Magnoliopsida; Poales; Poaceae
Exons: 5
Source: RefSeq, a predicted model, not a curated record
UCGGUCUCCGCGGCCGUCGCGGCCCACGCCGUGCUCCGCCUCUCGCCGCAGAUCCCGGUCCUGAGGUGCGGCGACGGCAGCAGGCAUCCGGAGGCCCCAUCUGAAUCCGCCCUUCCCAUCCCGAUCCGCAUCGCCGCUGCCCCGGUCCGCUCCGUCCCCUUCAUCGUCCGCUGCUCCUUUCCUGCGUCGGCGUCUUCACUUCUCAGUCCUGGCGUCGCAGCUGCCCCAGCCGUCGAUCUGCCAUCCCCGACUGUGCGCUGCAACCCUAACCCCAACUCCAAGGCCGCCGCCGCCUUCCGCAAGCGCCAUGGCAGAUCUCGUGCCCUUGCCCAUCCCACUCCAUCCCUGCAGUCCUCCGCGAAUGACAAUAUUGGAUCCCACGCCCAUCACAGGUUCCAUGGCUCCAAACUUCCCCUAGGCCUACUUGCCCUGGGUCUAAAAGACGGUGCCUUUGUUGUGUGAUCCGCAGGUUCUUGCGGAAGGCAUGGAAACCUACUUCUUUUCUCAGUGUUAGGACAUCCCUUGCUGUUCCAUGGCCCCUCAUCAGAUAUGAAUCAUAAAGACACCAUCUUUGGGUGAAAUAUGAGAGGUAGCUUCUCAUUACCAAGGGGUGGGGAUCGUCACUUGAAAAGGGGUGGAAUUUCAAGUGCCAAAAACUUCAACACAGGUUAAUUCUUUUCAGUAUGCUAUUCCUUGAUCUCAUAAAUGCUUGAAAGAUUCAAGUUCUGCCAUGUAAACUUAUCAGCAUUUAACAUUGUUGUUUGGUUUGGUUAUGCUUUCUGUGAACAGAAUCAGAGAUUUCCUUCCCUAAUUAAAUAAGACUUAACAAAGCUCUAUGUAUCUUGUUACAGAAGGCCAUGUAACUAAAUCAGUGUCAAAUAUAGCUACUUAGUAAAGUCAGUGCAAUUGUGCAAAUAGCUUGAAUAAUGACCUCUUAUUUAAUAAUAAAUGCUUUUGGCAAGGGAAAGCAAAAUCGCUGGUGAACAAUUAAGAAUAGUAUUGAGGAUCAGUCUUUAAAUGAAGCAUAACCCAUUCCAUUAUUGAUCAUGUGCAUUCGAAGCACCCAAAGCUUUACUCAUGUUGCCUCCUCCAUCACUCCAUCAAUUUGUAGUCUCAAAUCAUGUGUGUUGUUUGUUAGGGUAAUAACUAAGUGGUGAGAUGGGAUUGUCAUGAGUGGUAAAUUAGUGCUGAAUUUAUACAGAUUUCUCAUUUUGCACCGCUUGAAAUAAGCAAACACCAGUCAUAACCUCCUGGAAUCCCAGUUAGUACAGUAGGAUAGAUAUAAUCUGUGGAUUAUCAAUGUAUAUUCAGACAUCCAAGUAAACUUCUCUAUUGCAAUGACUGACAAGUCAUUAUCUCUACUACUAAAAAAACUCUAAGCGGGACGCAAUCAUCUGUUGUGUGUCGCCGAGGUGCGAACGCCCCACUAAUCAGUCUUGGUUCAGCCGCUAACCUUCCUGGUUCGUCCGAUCGGGUUCGUCCAGCCGCUAAGCUCCAUGAUUCGUCUGAUCGCAGUGUCUUCCAUCGUGCGUGCCUUCCGCCUCGCAAUCCUCAGAUUUCUCUCAUCAGAUUUGCCUUUCCUUUUCGUGAGCUGCGUUCCACAGUCGUGAUCUGCCGCCCUCCAGCUCGUCCAACUUCGCACCCCACGCGGUCGCCGCUGGCCCGCUCCAUCCGCUGCACGUCCAUCUUUGCUGUUCUUCAACUAAUUGACUGAUCAUUAAAUAUAAUGAGAAUUUAUUUAUAAUAUGAGUCAAGUGUAGAAAAUUGCUAUCAUGCUUUGCCAUAUCUCAUCCAAGUAGAAAUAAGAUUGUGCUUGAAACUUAGUACGUAGCAAAUCAUUUGUCUAUUGCAUAAUCAAUUGAAAAGAAUAUAUUUGGUUGCAGAUUAUGGAAAGUUCAACUUUCAGUUCUACUUCACUUAUGGUCAUUGGUGUCGUGCCCAUAGACGACACAAGCUUGAGCAUGAGUAGCUGGAAGCCGAGAUUCAAACGCGUGGUUGUCGGCGCUGGAGGUAAGCAUCUUAUGGGAACGUGGCUGCUAUAGAUGCACGACAUAACAAAAGCUGAGCUCGAGGGAAGAGCAUUUUAAGCCUAAUAAAAAUGUAGCAAAUUUUUACUAUGAAAUGUCCAUUGUUGUUAUUAAAUAAAGUUAAAGUUUAGUUUCAUAGUUAAUUUUAUUACUUCUCUCAAUAUCUUCAUGAUUACAAUUAAUAUAUGUUUUUGUUUGCUUCAUUACUUUUUA